Molecule: transfer RNA, 72 nt
Filed under: Bos taurus (domestic cattle)
Lineage: Eukaryota; Metazoa; Chordata; Mammalia; Artiodactyla; Bovidae
Rfam family: tRNA
About the family: Transfer RNA (tRNA) molecules are approximately 80 nucleotides in length. Their secondary structure includes four short double-helical elements and three loops (D, anti-codon, and T loops).
Source: Rfam by way of RNAcentral
CCCCUGGUAGCUCAGAUGAUAGAGAGUCUGCUUGCAAUGCAGGAGACCCAGGUUUAACCCCUGGGUUGGGAA